RNAcentral lists this ribosomal RNA (262 nucleotides) under Staphylococcus aureus. Its description in RNAcentral is "partial 16S ribosomal RNA". It matches the Rfam family "Bacterial small subunit ribosomal RNA", at positions 1269 to 1529 of the family's 1533-position model. Lineage: Bacteria; Bacillati; Bacillota; Bacilli; Caryophanales; Staphylococcaceae. The record is from RNAcentral.
AAAUCCCAUAAAGUUGUUCUCAGUUCGGAUUGUAGUCUGCAACUCGACUACAUGAAGCUGGAAUCGCUAGUAAUCGUAGAUCAGCAUGCUACGGUGAAUACGUUCCCGGGUCUUGUACACACCGCCCGUCACACCACGAGAGUUUGUAACACCCGAAGCCGGUGGAGUAACCUUUUAGGAGCUAGCCGUCGAAGGUGGGACAAAUGAUUGGGGUGAAGUCGUAACAAGGUAGCCGUAUCGGAAGGUGCGGCUGGAUCACCUC